GACGAACGCUGGCGGCGUGCCUAAUACAUGCAAGUAGAACGCUGAAGGAGGAGCUUGCUCUUCUGGAUGAGUUGCGAACGGGUGAGUAACGCGUAGGUAACCUGCCUUGUAGCGGGGGAUAACUAUUGGAAACGAUAGCUAAUACCGCAUAACAGUAGAUGUUGCAUGACAUUUGCUUAAAAGUUGCAAUUGCAUCACUACCAGAUGGACCUGCGUUGUAUUAGCUAGUUGGUGGGGUAACGGCGCACCAAGGCGACGAUACAUCGCCGACCUGAGAGGGGGAGCGGCCACACUGGGAGUGAGACACGGCACAGACUCCUACGGGAGGCAGCAGGAGGGAAACGUCGGCAAUGGACGGAAGUCUGACCGAGAAACGCCGAGUGAGUGAAGAAGGGUGUCGGAUCGGAAAGCUCUGUUGUCAGAGAAGAACGAGUGUGAGAGUGGAAAGUUCACAGUGUGACGGUAGCUGACCAGAAAGGGACGGCUAACUACGUG
RNAcentral lists this ribosomal RNA (495 nucleotides) under uncultured bacterium. Its description in RNAcentral is "partial 16S ribosomal RNA". It matches the Rfam family "Bacterial small subunit ribosomal RNA", at positions 28 to 507 of the family's 1533-position model. The record is from RNAcentral.